This 320-nucleotide ribosomal RNA is filed under the name uncultured eukaryote. Its description in RNAcentral is "partial 18S ribosomal RNA". It matches the Rfam family "Eukaryotic small subunit ribosomal RNA", at positions 1470 to 1796 of the family's 1831-position model. The record is from RNAcentral.
CCCAUAGAUGUUCUGGGCCGCACGCGCGCUACACUGAACAGUUCAACAAGUCUUAACCUUGGCCGAUAGGUCUGGGUAAUCUUUGAACGCUGUUCGUGAUUGGGAUAGACCUUUGCAAUUAUGGGUCUUCAACGAGGAAUUCCUAGUAAACGCAAGUCAUCAGCUUGCAUUGAUUACGUCCCUGCCCUUUGUACACACCGCCCGUCGCACCUACCGAUUGAAUGGUCCGGUGAAAUCUCGGGACGGCGGCUUGGUCGCUUGCGUCCGACUGCUGAAACUUGAUUAAACCAUAUCAUUUAGAGGAAGGUGAAGUCGUAACA